Molecule: ribosomal RNA, 434 nt
Filed under: uncultured bacterium
Lineage: Bacteria
Description: partial 16S ribosomal RNA
Rfam family: Bacterial small subunit ribosomal RNA
Source: RNAcentral
AGCGAACGCUGGCGGCAGGCCUAACACAUGCAAGUCGAACGAACCUUUCGGGGUUAGUGGCGGACGGGUGAGUAACACGUGGGGACGUGCCUUUAGGUUCGGAAUAACUCAGGGAAACUUGUGCUAAUACCGAAUGUGCCCUUCGGGGGAAAGAUUUAUCGCCGUUAGAGCGGCCCGCGUCUGCUUAGCUAGUUGGUUGAGGUAAUGGCUCACCAAGGCUAGGAGCAGUAGCUGGUCUGAGAGGAUGAUCAGCCACAUUGGGACUGAGACACGGCCCAAAAUACUACGGGAAGGAGCAGUGGGGAAUCUUGCGCAAUGGGGGAAAGCCUGACGCAGCCAUGCCGCGUGAAUGAUGAAGGUCUUAGGAUUGUAAAAUUCUUUCACCGGGGACGAUAAUGACGGUACCAGGAGAAGAAGCCCCGGCUAACUUCGUG